UAGCUCAGUUGGUAGAGCACGACCUUGCCAAGGUCGGGGUCGCGAGUUCGAGUCU
RNAcentral lists this transfer RNA (55 nucleotides) under Citrobacter freundii. RNAcentral's name for it is "tRNA-Gly". It matches the Rfam family "tRNA", at positions 8 to 60 of the family's 71-position model. Rfam says of the family: Transfer RNA (tRNA) molecules are approximately 80 nucleotides in length. Their secondary structure includes four short double-helical elements and three loops (D, anti-codon, and T loops). Lineage: Bacteria; Pseudomonadati; Pseudomonadota; Gammaproteobacteria; Enterobacterales; Enterobacteriaceae. The record is from RNAcentral. RNAcentral also lists the same sequence under 41 other names.